AUUAAUAAUUAAUAUAUUUAAUAAAAAUAAUUUUAAUUUAAUAAGUAUUUUAAUGGGGGUUAAAGUAUUUUUUAAAGAAAAAAUUUUUAAAUUUAUAGUUAAUUAGUAUUGUGAAAGAAUUUUGAAAUAUUAUGAAAAAUAAAAUUUUUAGAAAGUAAUUUUUAUUUAUUGUAUCUUGUGUAUCAGAGUUUAUUAAAAAUUUUUAAUUUAUGAAUUAAUUUCUCGAAUUUAAAAGAGUUAAAUAAUUAUUAAAGUUAUUGUAGCAAAAUUAUUUUAAAUAAUUAUUUAGAAAUGAAAUGUUAAUCGUUUUUAAAUAUAUCUAGUUUUUAUAGAAAAAAAUUUAAUUUUAAAUUUAAAAAUUAUUUAAUUAAUUUAUUAAUUAAAUAAUUACUUAAAUUUUAUAAUUUAAGGGAUAAGCUUUAAAUUAAAUUUUUAUAAUAUUAAAUUUUUAUUUUGAAAAUUUUAUAAUUUAUAUUGUUAAUAAAUUUUAUUUUGUUAUAAAUAAUUUCAUUUUUUUUAAAAUUUAAAUUUUAUUUAAUUUUUUAUAUAAAAUUUAUUUAUAAUUAUAUAAAGUUAAUUAUAAUGAUAAAAUUAGUAUAUUAUUUAAUAUUAAAUUAAAAUUAAUUUUUGAUUAAUAAUUAAAUUAAUUAAAAGGAAUUCGGCAAAUAUUUAUUUUCACUUGUUUAUCAAAAACAUGUCUUUUUGUUAUUUAAUUUAAAGUCUAAUCUGCCCACUGAUUUAUAAAAAUUGAAGGGCUGCAGUAUAUUGACUGUACAAAGGUAGCAUAAUCAUUAGUCUCUUAAUUGGUGACUUGUAUGAAAGAUUGGAUGAAAAAU
This 836-nucleotide ribosomal RNA is filed under the name Biston falcata satura. Its description in RNAcentral is "partial 16S ribosomal RNA". The record is from RNAcentral. Lineage: Eukaryota; Metazoa; Arthropoda; Insecta; Lepidoptera; Geometridae.